GGCUUUUCGUUAAUUAACAGAUGGGAAGUCGUACCUGCUCGGUGGUUUGGUGUACAGACUUAACAGCGGCAGUAAUACGUCCGAAGGUAGCAUAAUUCCCAGCCUUUUAAUUGUAGGCAGUUGGUGAACGGUUUGACGAUGGUCUCACUGUCUCAGGGCUAUUGGGCUGAAUUUGAUUUCUGGGUGAAGAAGCCUAGAUUACUGAAAGGGACGAUAAGACCCUAUAAAACUUUAACUCAGGCGGAGUAACUUAAUUAAGGCGGUAAAGGGUUUUGGCUGGGGCAGCAGGUUGACCAGUUUAAAUCAUCAAGGUUUUUUGAAACGGUCAAGUUAUGAUCCACUUUUUAUGUAGGUGAUUAUCGGAUUUAGUUACUUUAGGGAUAACAGCAUCAUCUGCCUUGAGAGACCGUAUUGAUAGGCGGGAUUGUGACCUCGAUGUUGGCUUAACGUAUCCUUUGGGUUUGGCAGGAGCCCAUGAGGGUUGGAUUGUUCAUCCAUUAAAGCGUUACA
RNAcentral lists this ribosomal RNA (510 nucleotides) under Anomia ephippium. Its description in RNAcentral is "partial 16S ribosomal RNA". It matches the Rfam family "Bacterial large subunit ribosomal RNA", at positions 1817 to 2600 of the family's 2925-position model. RNAcentral also lists the same sequence under 1 other name. The record is from RNAcentral. Lineage: Eukaryota; Metazoa; Mollusca; Bivalvia; Pectinida; Anomiidae.